RNAcentral lists this ribosomal RNA (495 nucleotides) under uncultured Glomus. RNAcentral's name for it is "SSU rRNA". It matches the Rfam family "Eukaryotic small subunit ribosomal RNA", at positions 569 to 1070 of the family's 1831-position model. Lineage: Eukaryota; Fungi; Glomeromycota; Glomeromycetes; Glomerales; Glomeraceae. The record is from RNAcentral.
AGCAGCCGCGGUAAUUCCAGCUCCAAUAGCGUAUAUUAAAGUUGUUGCAGUUAAAAAGCUCGUAGUUGAAUUUCGGGACUAAUAUGUCGGUCGUGCCUCGGUACGCACUGGCUUAUUGGUUUCUCCUUUCUGAAGAACCAUGAUGUCAUUUAUUUGGUGUCGUGGGGAAUCAGGACUGUUACUUUGAAAAAAUUAGAGUGUUUAAAGCAGGCUCACGCUUGAAUACAUUAGCAUGGAAUAAUGAAAUAGGACGUUUGAUUCUAUUUUGUUGGUUUCUAGGAUCGACGUAAUGAUUAAUAGGGAUAGUUGGGGGCAUUAGUAUUCAAUUGUCAGAGGUGAAAUUCUUGGAUUUAUUGAAGACUAACUACUGCGAAAGCAUUUGCCAAGGAUGUUUUCAUUAAUCAAGAACGAAAGUUAGGGGAUCGAAGACGAUCAGAUACCGUCGUAGUCUUAACCAUAAACUAUGCCAACUAGGGAUCGGAUGAUGUUAAUUUU